RNAcentral lists this transfer RNA (76 nucleotides) under Candidatus Saccharimonadota bacterium. RNAcentral describes it as "Candidatus Saccharibacteria bacterium tRNA-Thr". It matches the Rfam family "tRNA". Rfam says of the family: Transfer RNA (tRNA) molecules are approximately 80 nucleotides in length. Their secondary structure includes four short double-helical elements and three loops (D, anti-codon, and T loops). Lineage: Bacteria; Candidatus Saccharimonadota. The record is from RNAcentral.
GCCGAUAUAGCUCAGUCGGUAGAGCAAUGCUUUCGUAAAGCAGAGGUCGGCGGUUCGAAUCCGCCUAUCGGCUCCA